Molecule: ribosomal RNA, 870 nt
Filed under: Triticum aestivum (bread wheat)
Lineage: Eukaryota; Viridiplantae; Streptophyta; Magnoliopsida; Poales; Poaceae
Description: partial small subunit ribosomal RNA
Source: RNAcentral
AUGUUGGUGGACGCGCUUGCCGCUAUCCUGGACAAGGCAAAGGCGGCGGCCCAUAUUCGUGGGAUCACUCCCCACCUGGCCGGUGGCUCUGGGAUCUCCCUUCUCCAGUAUGCCGACGACACCAUCAUUAUGGUGGAAGGCUCGAAGGGGGACAUCUCUAAUCUGAAGUUCCUCCUCCUCUGCUUCCAACAAAUGUCUGGCCUCAAGAUCAACUUCGACAAGAGCGAUAUGAUGGUGAUGGGCUAUUCUCCGAAUGAAUGCCUGGGCAUUGCCAACCGACUUAACUGCCGCUUGGGCUCCUUCCCCACGACCUACUUGGGGACGCCCAUUAGUGAUUCUCAGCUCACCGUCGCCGACUUGCGUCUGACCGUGGCCAAGCUGCAGACGCGCAUUGAACCUUGGCAGGGUAGGUGGUUGUCGAAGGCGGCCCGGACGAUUCUCAUCAACUCCUCCCUAUCCAGCGUCCUCUUGUUCCUCAUGAGCUUCUAUAGCCUGCACGAGACUCUGCAUCAUAAGAUCACCAGAGUCCAGUCUCCUUUCUACUGGGUGGGUGACAACAAUAAGCAGAAAUACCAUAUAGUUAGCUGGCCCGACAUCUGCAAGCCGAGGGAACAAGGAGGCCUCGGGAUCAUGUGCUCUAGGUGCAUGAACAUCGCCCUCUUAUCCCGCUGGCUAUGGCGCAUUUCGCAAGGGCAAGGUGGGCUCUGGUUAGACAUCAUCCGGAACAAAUACCUGUGUGGGCAACCCCUCGCCUUCUAUCAGAGAUCUGGCGGCUCCCAGUUCUGGCAGUCGGUCAUCCAAGGUCGAUCAUCCAAGUACUCUCGGUUCUUCGCAUUGGGACCUCCAUUUCGGUUGGAUCUGGGGUUGUGA